This 488-nucleotide ribosomal RNA is filed under the name uncultured Thiorhodospira sp. RNAcentral's name for it is "bacterial SSU rRNA". It matches the Rfam family "Bacterial small subunit ribosomal RNA", at positions 8 to 494 of the family's 1533-position model. Lineage: Bacteria; Pseudomonadati; Pseudomonadota; Gammaproteobacteria; Chromatiales; Ectothiorhodospiraceae. The record is from RNAcentral.
AGAGUUUGAUCAUGGCUCAGAUUGAACGCUGGCGGCGUGCUUAACACAUGCAAGUCGAGCGGUAACAGGCGUAGCAAUACGUGCUGACGAGCGGCGAACGGGUGCGUAAUACAUGGGAAUCUGCCUUUUAGUGGGGAAUAACCCGGCGAAAGCCGGGCUAAUGCCGCAUAAGAUCUUCGGAUGAAAGCGGGGGAUCGUAAGACCUCGCGCUGAUAGAUGAGCCCAUGCCGGAUUAGCUAGUUGGUGAGGUAACGGCUCACCAAGGCGACGAUCCGUAGCUGGUCUGAGAGGACGGCCAGCCACACUGGGACUGAGACACGGCCCAGACUCCUACGGGAGGCAGCAGUGGGGAAUAUUGGACAAUGGGGGAAACCCUGAUCCAGCGACGCCGCGUGUGUGAAGAAGGCCUGCGGGUUGUAAAGCACUUUCGGUGGGAACGAAAUAUGCCGGGCUAAUACCCCGGUAGGCUGACGUACUCAAGAAGAGAC